Molecule: long non-coding RNA, 1026 nt
Organism: Entelurus aequoreus (snake pipefish)
Lineage: Eukaryota; Metazoa; Chordata; Actinopteri; Syngnathiformes; Syngnathidae
Exons: 3
Source: RefSeq, a predicted model, not a curated record
UUAUUUUGUGUUGAAAAUAAAAAUAUAGACGUCUUUUAUUGCGGCUCAGCCUCACCCAGACUCAGCAUCCAGUGGCCCCCAGGCAAAUUGAGUUUGAGACCCCUGCUCUAGCUACUGCCACUGUCAGGAACAAAACAAGGAUGCCUUUGAAAGAUGGAGAAGAUUGAAGGCGAAGAAGACUUUUUCAUCUGACGCCAAACCUGCUAAUUUCUUCCUUGAUAGGUGGUGUGCCUCUGGAUUUUCUCAACGCAGAAGAUGUGCCUUGGCUCAAAAAAGGUUGAAAAACACUGAGCUAAGAGAAAGAGUCGUUGUUGGCCUCACCUGCAGCUUCUCUCUCUCCUCCUGGUGCUUCUUCUCGGCGUCUUGAAGCUGCGCAUACAAGCGCUUACUCACUUCUCUCAGCUUGGUCCUCUCCGCCUCCUCGUCUGCCUCCUGACAGACCAAUCACAACAACAACAACACACGUGAAUACGCUCGGAAUGACGUCGUGUGUGAAACAAACGCUGCCGUCGGCGAGAGAAUGCGGCGGGUCGGGCCCUGCAAGAGAAACCAGGCGUGUUUGUUGCCAUCGCCGUGCGUCAUUGGAUGCUGACCAGUUUUCUCUAUUCUUGUGACGGUUCUCAUGACUCACAGAAACGUUAAUGCUAUAAAUGGCACGGAGAAACUAAUGCGGCGAAGAGCUCAAACUAUGAAGGCGAUGACGCCACUAUGGAAUGUGGCGACAAAAGGGAGGGCCUGAAUACAAUAAGGUAAAGUAGCUAUAAUUAAUUUAUUUGGCAUCCUCUCUCAUCUAACUACUCUCUGGAACCACCGUGUUGACAUUCCUGUGAAUGUCAUUGGUUCAGGUUGUAUUCUCAGGGCACAGAGUCAAUCACAACUUGUUUUUACAACCAAAACAAAACACACGCUCACCUGUCCAUCACUUUUGGCUCCGCCUUUCUGGGCCUGCUUCUUGAAUGGGGAGGUGACCUUCCACCCGUUAGUGUGCAUCUGGAGAAAGGAGAGGAGAAGAGAUGAGGUGAAGCA